UGGGGAAUAUUGCACAAUGGGCGGAAGCCUGAUGCAGCGACGCCGCGUGGGGGAUGAAGGCCUUCGGGUUGUAAACUCCUUUCGACAGGGACGAAGCUUUUGUGACGGCACCUGUAUAAGAAGCACCGGCUAACUACGUGCCAGCAGCCGCGGUAAUACGUAGGGUGCGAGCGUUGUCCGGAAUUACUGGGCGUAAAGAGCUCGUAGGUGGUUUGUCGCGUCGUCUGUGAAAUUCCGGGGCUUAACUCCGGGCGUGCAGGCGAUACGGGCUGACUUGAGUGCUGUAGGGGAGACUGGAAUUCCUGGAGUAGCGGUGAAAUGCGCAGAUAUCAGGAGGAACACCGAUGGCGAAGGCAGGUCUCUGGGCAGUAACUGACGCUGAGGAGCGAAAGCAUGGGUAGCGAACAGG
Molecule: ribosomal RNA, 409 nt
Filed under: Actinomycetes bacterium
Lineage: Bacteria; Bacillati; Actinomycetota; Actinomycetes
Description: Actinobacteria bacterium partial 16S ribosomal RNA
Rfam family: Bacterial small subunit ribosomal RNA
Source: RNAcentral